Molecule: long non-coding RNA, 1711 nt
Organism: Micropterus dolomieu (smallmouth bass)
Lineage: Eukaryota; Metazoa; Chordata; Actinopteri; Centrarchiformes; Centrarchidae
Exons: 3
Source: RefSeq, a predicted model, not a curated record
AAUGCUUAAAACCAAGAACGGUAUAACCAUUUGACAAUUAAGGUUUGAUUGUGGGAAGGUAUUUGAUUAAAAUACGCACAAACAGACUUUUAAAAUAGACAUUAGAGUUAAAGGACCAGAAGCCCACCCCCUCAAAGGAAACAAGCCCUCGGGGGAACAAAGCCAAGCCCCUGGGGACACGCCCCAAGGGACCAGACAAACAAAACAGCGGAGCUCUUUGUUGCUCGCUCUCUUCUCGCUCUUCCCUUGUACUUCGGCUCUCCAGCAGCACGCGCUCAGCGUGGUCCGUCUCCCAGCAACGCCCUAAGAAGUCCGGCCCGGCUUGCCGCGAAGAUUCCUUUGUUCUUGUCAAGCCACACGCGCGAAGCGCCGCGACCUUGGCUUUUCCCUCGUUUCCAGCAACUUACUUGCUUUAUAUUUUCUUUUGUUUUGUUUGUUAAAAGUUAUCAGACCGUUAAGUCGCGCAAUUUUAAUUCAAGAACGACCAAGUUCUUUUUAGCUUUAUUGUAGUCUAGUGAAUUUAUACUGCUCCCACCGAAGUUCGGACCCAGCCACGUGCGUCCGUUACGCAAGCAGUAACAAAGGACAAUCAAACCGACAACCCGAGCCAAGGUUAGCAGCCUAUCCCUGCAAGUUUUCUUCAAAAAGCCAAAUGAGGACAGAUCUUUGGAGCAAUUCCCUGGCAGAGAAAGCGAGAAAGCGUCCGGAGACCCUGGGCGAACUGAAUUUCCGCUGGUGCCCUUUUCGAGAUGCAGAGCGUCUCUAUGAGCUGCAGGUGAAACUCACUCACAGGAUCAUCAUUACAAAGUGAAAGACAGAAUGGACGACAUGGUGGAAAGCCUGUACUGUGCCAGUUGUGCUACAUGUGAAAUCUGGGAUUGCCCAAUUCAUUCUUGGUGUUGAAUAAUGGCCAAAAAAGUGUCCCCCUGCCCCCCCAGGACAUUAUGAUGUCACAGUGACGUUAACCUUUGACCUUUUGGUAAACAUGUGUGCAAACACGCCGUUAAGAUUUGGCUCCAUUCAUGAGCCAAGGAAGGAUCUGUUUAGCAUAGGACCUCCUCCAGCCCUUCAGCACAGUAGAUGGCCCUGCCCACUAAAGAUGUACACCUGCUCUCAGCCUCACCAUCCAACACAACACCAAGCCGUCAUUCUUUCACUGAGUUAGAGCUGGAGGUUGUCCAGUAUGUCUCACAGAAAGUGCAUUACUUGUGGCUAAAGCUACAGUAACCGCUAGCUUAUGCUUACUGACCUUUAGACAUCUGUGUGAUCUUAGUGUCUAACUGUCCAGUUGUUUCCAGGAAAAACACAUAGUAUGAAACACUGUAUGUUGUACUACUACAUAACUAAAGUGCAAAAUACAGUAUAUCUUUGAACUGCUAACAUAGUUAUUGUGCUUUAUAUUAAGUCACUGAUGGAAACAUUUGAGGGUCACAGUUUUAACUUUGAGGAAAAUAAAAAAUAGCCACUACGGGCUGUAACAAAUAAAAUAUUAUACAUUACCUCUUCCUCUGCAUGUGUUCUCACUUCUGCUAGUGCUGCGGCUUCUACUUCUCUGCUCCUUCUCUCGCUGAAGUGACAGGUGACUCUGUUGUUGGGACACGUUGCCCCCUCUCUCUCCUGGAUAAUGGACCACCAAUUAAUAUACAUCAAAAUAUUUACAUAGUACAUACAGUAUAUGCUUAUAUAUUUAGCAGUUGUAUAUUCCACUUAA